GAUGAACGCUGGCGGCGUGCUUAACACAUGCAAGUCGAACGAUGAAGCCCAGCUUGCUGGGUGGAUUAGUGGCGAACGGGUGAGUAACACGUGAGUAACCUGCCCUUGGCUCUGGGAUAAGCCUGGGAAACUGGGUCUAAUACUGGAUAUGACUUCUCAUCGCAUGGUGGGGGGUGGAAAGAUUUAUUGGUCUUGGAUGGACUCGCGGCCUAUCAGCUUGUUGGUGAGGUAAUGGCUCACCAAGGCGACGACGGGUAGCCGGCCUGAGAGGGUGACCGGCCACACUGGGACUGAGACACGGCCCAGACUCCUACGGGAGGCAGCAGUGGGGAAUAUUGCACAAUGGGCGCAAGCCUGAUGCAGCGACGCCGCGUGAGGGAUGACGGCCUUCGGGUUGUAAACCUCUUUCAGUAGGGAAGAAGCGAGAGUGACGGUACCUGCAGAAGAAGCGCCGGCUAACUACGUG
Molecule: ribosomal RNA, 466 nt
Filed under: uncultured bacterium
Lineage: Bacteria
Description: partial 16S ribosomal RNA
Rfam family: Bacterial small subunit ribosomal RNA
Source: RNAcentral